Molecule: ribosomal RNA, 229 nt
Filed under: uncultured bacterium
Lineage: Bacteria
Description: partial 16S ribosomal RNA
Rfam family: Bacterial small subunit ribosomal RNA
Source: RNAcentral
UGCGUAGGCGGAUUAAUAAGUCAGUGGUGAAAACCUGCAGCUUAACUGUAGAACUGCCAUUGAUACUGUUAGUCUUGAGUACGGUCAAGGUAGGCGGAAUGUGUAAUGUAGCGGUGAAAUGCUUAGAUAUUACACAGAACACCGAUUGCGAAGGCAACUUACUGGACCAUUACUGACGCUGAGGCACGAAAGCGUGGGGAGCGAACAGGAUUAGAUACCCUGGUAGUCC